GUAAUAACCCGCCACGAGUAAUUCCGUUUUCAAAAUUUCGUCGCUUUAGAGAGCGCGUGAGCACCGCAAGUAUCUCUCCUCCUCCGCCCUCUCCUCGGUGUCAUUGCCAACAGUUCGCUAACGUGCAGAAAGAGGUGUAUGUGUGUGUGGAUAUUGAGUUAAUCGAAAUUUUAGGGGAUUUUGAAUUGAUUAUUCAAUGGCCGCACCACCAGCAAGGGCACGAGCAGAUUACGAUUACCUCAUAAAGCUCCUCUUGAUCGGCGACAGCGGUGUUGGUAAGAGUUGCCUUCUUUUGCGUUUUUCUGAUGGUUCCUUUACCACAAACUUUAUCACCACCAUUGGGAUUGAUUUUAAAAUACGGACCAUUGAGCUUGAAGGGAAAAGGAUCAAACUACAAAUCUGGGAUACGGCUGGUCAGGAACGGUUCCGAACAAUCACCACUGCUUACUAUCGUGGAGCCAUGGGUAUAUUGUUGGUUUAUGACGUUACUGAUGAGUCUUCCUUUAACAACAUUACGAACUGGAUUCGUAACAUUGAGCAGCAUGCUUCAGACAAUGUCAACAAAAUACUUGUAGGGAACAAGGCUGACAUGGAUGAAAGCAAGAGGGCUGUCCCUACCUCUAAGGGUCAAGCACUUGCCGAUGAGUAUGGUAUUAAAUUUUUUGAAACUAGUGCCAAAACAAAUCUUAACGUGGAACAAGUUUUCAUGUCAAUAGCAAAGGAUAUAAAGCAAAGGCUUUCAGACACAGACUCCAAAGCGGAGCCUUCGACGAUCAAAAUUAAUCAACCAGACACAGGAACUGGAGGCGGUCAACUUGGCCAAAAAUCAGCUUGCUGUGGUUCAUAAAUGGACUGAUCCCUACAGGACCAGGUGCACUCAUUGAUCUCUAAACCACCAAGAAGAGCAAACAAAGGCUAAUUUUGAAGGAAAUAUUUGCUGUACUUGUAAUAUUUUUAUUGUUCAUUCUUUUGUCUUAGAGUGGUGUGAAGGAUAGGUUGAUUACCAUGUGAGAAGUCAAAUUUGUUACUAACGCCGUUCCUGUUUCAUUUUCUACUUCAUUAGGUCAAGGAUGUGAAUGUGAUAACCUAACAUUUUCUCAAGUUUACAUUGUGUUGCAGGAUUUUAUUCAUUGGAAAGAUUUGGAUUAAGGAUGGUGGGGACAGAGUAAAAGAGUUGAACAAUUCAUCUGGUUUAAAAAACUAGGCACCAGUAUUUCAUGAAAGAUUAAAUGUACUUGGAACUUGAAUUUUUACCAUAUUCUGUCUAUUUUAUGGGGUUUGAAAUCGA
RNA transcript from Solanum dulcamara, 1288 nucleotides. It is a transcript of the gene named ras-related protein RABE1c-like, with no coding region annotated. The record is from RefSeq and is a predicted model, not a curated record. The transcript has 10 exons. Lineage: Eukaryota; Viridiplantae; Streptophyta; Magnoliopsida; Solanales; Solanaceae.